UAUGUUAUAUUUAUUUGUUGACUCUA
RNAcentral lists this microRNA (26 nucleotides) under Plutella xylostella (diamondback moth). RNAcentral describes it as "pxy-miR-8540". Lineage: Eukaryota; Metazoa; Arthropoda; Insecta; Lepidoptera; Plutellidae. The record is from miRBase by way of RNAcentral.